GCAGUUGUCGUUUUUGGUCCUGCAGUAGUUAUUGAUCCUGCAGAUGUUGUUGUUGGCCGUGCAGUUGUGGAUCUUUUAUUUAUUAUUGUUGUCCCUGCAGUUGUCUCUUCUGUUGUCGUAGAUGUUGUUUUUUCUGCUGCUGUUGUUGGUUCAGCAGUUGUUGUUUUUCGUCCUGCAGUUGUUCUUGGUUGUUCAACAGUUGGCUUUGUUAGUCCUGCAGUUGUUGUUGUUCCUACUGUAGUGGAUAAUAGUCUUGCAAUAGCAGUGGUAGGUCCUGCAAUUGUUGUUGGUUCAGAAGUGGUCGUGGUUGGCCGUGCAGUUGUGGAUCUUUUAGUGAUUAUUGUUGUUCCUGCAGUUGUCUCUUCUGUUGUCAUAGAUGUUGGUUUUUCUGCUGCUGUUGUUGGUUCAGCAGUUGUCGUUUUUCGUCCUGCAGUUGUUGUUGUUGUGGAUCUUGCUGUCGUAGUUGAUGGACCUGCAGUUGUUGGUUUUGGGACUGCAUAUGUUGUUGGUUGUUCAACAGUUGGCUUUGUUUGUCCUGCAGUUGUUGUUGUUCCUACUUUAGUGGAUAAUAGUCUUGCAAUAGCAGUGGUAGGUCCUGCAAUUGUUGUUGGUUCAGAAGUGGUCGUGGUUGGCCGUGCAGUUGUGGAUCUUUUAGUGAUUAUUGUUGUUCCUGCAGUUGUCUCUUCUGUUGUCAUAGAUGUUGGUUUUUCUGCUGCUGUUGUUGGUUCAGCAGUUGUCGUUUUUCGUCCUGCAGUUGUUGUUGUUGUGGAUCUUGCUGUAGUAGUUGAUGGACCUGCAGUUGUUGGUUUUGGCACUGCAGUUGUUGUUGGAUGUUCAACAGUUGGCUUUGUUAGUCCUGCAGUUGUUGUUGCUCCUACUGUAGUGGAUAAUAGUCUUGCAGUAGCAGUGGUAGGUCCUGCAAUUGUUGUUGGUUUAAAAGUUGUCGUUGUUUGUCCUGCAGUUUUUGUUGUGAGUCCUGUAGUUUUAGCUCUGGUUCCAGCAGUUGUUGUUGUUGGUUCUUCAGAUGGCGUAGUUGGUCCUGCCGUUGUUGUUGUGGGUCCAGCAGAAGUAGUUAGUAGGCUUGCAGUAACAGUGGUAGGUUCCACAAUUGUUUUUCGUUCAACAGUUGUCGAUUUUGGUCCUGCAGUGGUUGAUGUUCCUGCCGUUGUAGCUCUUGUUCCAGCAAUUGUAGUUGUUAGUUCAGCAGUUGCCGUUGUUGUUGUUGGUAGUUCAGAGGUUGUUGUUGUGGGUCCUGUAGCUUUUGUUUUUCGUUGA
This 1275-nucleotide long non-coding RNA is filed under the name Gadus morhua (Atlantic cod). RNAcentral's name for it is "lncRNA (ENSGMOG00000033941.1)". Lineage: Eukaryota; Metazoa; Chordata; Actinopteri; Gadiformes; Gadidae. The record is from RNAcentral.